RNAcentral lists this transfer RNA (52 nucleotides) under Argyroneta aquatica (water spider). RNAcentral describes it as "tRNA-Val". The record is from RNAcentral. Lineage: Eukaryota; Metazoa; Arthropoda; Arachnida; Araneae; Dictynidae.
AUCUUAAAAGCUUUAUAGCAUUUCAUUUACACUGAAAAUAAAUCUUAAAAUU